RNAcentral lists this ribosomal RNA (1305 nucleotides) under uncultured bacterium. RNAcentral's name for it is "bacterial SSU rRNA". It matches the Rfam family "Bacterial small subunit ribosomal RNA", at positions 123 to 1432 of the family's 1533-position model. The record is from RNAcentral.
AACCUGCCGUCUACUCUUGGACAGCCUUCUGAAAGGAAGAUUAAUACAAGAUGGCAUCAUGAGUUCACAUGUUCACAUGAUUAAAGGUAUUCCGGUAGACGAUGGGGAUGCGUUCCAUUAGAUAGUAGGCGGGGUAACGGCCCACCUAGUCUUCGAUGGAUAGGGGUUCUGAGAGGAAGGUCCCCCACAUUGGAACUGAGACACGGUCCAAACUCCUACGGGAGGCAGCAGUGAGGAAUAUUGGUCAAUGGGCGAGAGCCUGAACCAGCCAAGUAGCGUGAAGGAUGACUGCCCUAUGGGUUGUAAACUUCUUUUAUAAAGGAAUAAAGUCGGGUAUGCAUACCCGUUUGCAUGUACUUUAUGAAUAAGGAUCGGCUAACUCCGUGCCAGCAGCCGCGGUAAUACGGAGGAUCCGAGCGUUAUCCGGAUUUAUUGGGUUUAAAGGGAGCGUAGAUGGAUGUUUAAGUCAGUUGUGAAAGUUUGCGGCUCAACCGUAAAAUUGCAGUUGAUACUGGAUAUCUUGAGUGCAGUUGAGGCAGGCGGAAUUCGUGGUGUAGCGGUGAAAUGCUUAGAUAUCACGAAGAACUCCGAUUGCGAAGGCAGCCUGCUAAGCUGCAACUGACAUUGAGGCUCGAAAGUGUGGGUAUCAAACAGGAUUAGAUACCCUGGUAGUCCACACGGUAAACGAUGAAUACUCGCUGUUUGCGAUAUACAGCAAGCGGCCAAGCGAAAGCGUUAAGUAUUCCACCUGGGGAGUACGCCGGCAACGGUGAAACUCAAAGGAAUUGACGGGGGCCCGCACAAGCGGAGGAACAUGUGGUUUAAUUCGAUGAUACGCGAGGAACCUUACCCGGGCUUAAAUUGCAGAUGAAUUACGGUGAAAGCCGUAAGCCGCAAGGCAUCUGUGAAGGUGCUGCAUGGUUGUCGUCAGCUCGUGCCGUGAGGUGUCGGCUUAAGUGCCAUAACGAGCGCAACCCUUGUUGUCAGUUACUAACAGGUCAUGCUGAGGACUCUGACAAGACUGCCAUCGUAAGAUGUGAGGAAGGUGGGGAUGACGUCAAAUCAGCACGGCCCUUACGUCCGGGGCUACACACGUGUUACAAUGGGGGGUACAGAGGGCCGCUACCACGCGAGUGGAUGCCAAUCCCCAAAACCUCUCUCAGUUCGGACUGGAGUCUGCAACCCGACUCCACGAAGCUGGAUUCGCUAGUAAUCGCGCAUCAGCCACGGCGCGGUGAAUACGUUCCCGGGCCUUGUACACUCCGCCCGUCAAGCCAUGAGUGCUGUGUGUACCUGAAAGGCGUA